Long non-coding RNA from Equus asinus (donkey), 5440 nucleotides. The record is from Ensembl. NCBI's taxonomy places the organism in Eukaryota, Metazoa, Chordata, Mammalia, Perissodactyla, Equidae.
CUGGAGGGAGGCCUCUGAACCACACCGCUGGUGUGGUCCCCAGCAAGCUAACCUCCAUAAGCUGCGGGGUCCUCAUGUGCAAAACGUAAGAGUGGCCACCUCAGAGUCAGGAGGCCCGAAGCAGACAAUGCAUGUCACAUGUUUAGUGCUUGGCACUAAGAAAGUCCCAGGUAAAGAGGGUUGUGAGGCACGAGUCAUCUGUGGGGCAGCAGCUCUGAAGAGCAUGGCAGCAACGGAUCUGGAGGGUCUCAGCAUUGCCAACUGACCGGAAGACCCAAGAUAUCCAAGAAUUCUCUGGAAAUGAGAGUCACCCCCUCUGCUAGCCUCCAGUCAAAUCUGUCUUUUAAAAAAAUGCUCCCUGGAAACCAUCAAGAAAAUCCUUUAGGAAAUUCUGAAUAUUUAUAGAUUUUUUUUCGCAAUUUCAAUUUACAUAAAACUCACCACCCGGGAGAAAAUGCCUGAGUCAGGUUGAGAGCUGGAGCUGGUAGAUUUGUUGUGUGGGGUUAAUGUGGAGUUUUCAGUCCUCGCUGAGGCGGAAUUGCCUGAAUGAUCGUCUCUCUCUGCAUAACACUCAAACUCUAAUGGCAACAACAUGAAAUAAUAUCUCACUGGCUGUCUGGUUUCUCUCCCCAGGGCAUCGAUGCCAUGAGUUUGCUGUCCAUCCUUCCCAAGGUAUUUUGUACAUAUAUCAGCAAAUACAUAUCUCUUCCUUCCUUCUUUUAUAUACAAACAGUGACAUACUCUACAAACUGUUCUGCACUUGCUUUUUAAAAAAAAAUUAAUAUAUUUUGGAGAUUGCAUCACAGGCUGCUGUGUUUUAUGAAUUUAUUUUUUCCGUUUCAUGGCAUUGUUACAUGGAUGUGCCACAGUUUAUUUGACUGGUCUCCUACUUGUGGAUGUUUAGAUGGUUUCUCAUCUUUUGCUCCUGCAGGGAAUAACUUAUGUACAUAUGUAUGUGUAUAAGUAUGUAUAUAUAUAAUAAUAUAUAUAAUUCUCCAUCUGUGCUGGUAUAACUACAUAGGAUGAAUUCCUAGGAGUAGAAUUGCUGGGUCCAAUGCCAUAUGCAUUCCAAACAAGCCUCUUUUAAGAAAGCUGGUGGGAUAGCCUUGGAGUGAGUUAGAAGUUCAGUGGGGGACUCAAGCAGCGAAUCCUGGGAAGUACCUCUGGGACCUUCUGAUCAUAUUCCUUUAAAGAACUUUGAAGGCUCAUAAAGGGUUCCAUUUCCAUCUUUGCAUUUAAGAAAACGUGCAUACUUCUCAUACUUCCUCCUUCUCCCUCGUUUAGUAGAAGAAGAGGAAAGAGGAGGAGAGAAAUAAUCAAGUCUGGCCUAAGAGAAUCCAUGAUAUUGACAAAUACAUAUUUUAAUAUAGCAUACUUUCCGACAAGUGAACCCUAACGAGUCCUCCGGAUUAUCUAGACCUUUUAUGUUCAUUCUCGUGAAAAGGCAAAGGUUCGUGUCAAAGAUGAUACAUCCCAUGGUUUUGGUGGUGUCAGGAGAGGUUCAUCAGCUCCAGUCCUAACUAUGAAGUUCCAGGAGGAGGUCUGCGAAGCAUUGGAAGACAUCAAAUCAUGAAAUCAAGAAUUACUGUUGGUAGUGUCAGCAAAGCAGAUAAGUCUUCAUUUUGUUCUUGUUUUUAUUUUUGAAUAGGUAUUACCUACGAGUUCAAAGGUAUGAAAGGCCUUGCAUAUAUGAUUUCUCGACAAGGGUUGAUGACGAGUUUUCUGCUUUAUCAACCAAUUGCCAAGAAAAAAAAAUGCAGCAGCACAUGCCGGUUCCCCAGGCAUUCUAGUGCAGGCAGCUUCUUGUCGAAAAGGCUCACAACAGGAGUCCUCCUUUGUCUGCUCACUUUCAGCCCUAGGCCUGGGCCUCCUGGGGCCACUGAGUCAAAGCUCACUUUUUGUGAGUGACCUUGACCCUGUAACACUGGGAAGAACCAUUGGGAUUGGGCGGAGUGUUGACGGGCUCCAUGAAUCAGGAUAGACAUACAUUCCAGGCUGUCUAAAGUAAAAUUCUAACAUCUUGAGGAACUUUCCUCAGGUAUCCUGGGUGCCCCUCCACGUCUCCUAAGGCCUGUCAUUGCUAAGUUCAGCACAACUGUUUCUGCCAGGCUGUUUUUGUUUUUCUCAUCAAUCUUUUUAAAGUAAAUAAAUUAAUGAACAAAUGACUCAAAAAACAAACCCAAACAACCAAAACCAGAAAAGCUACAGUAGUUAAAAACCAUGAGGCCACAUCAGGCCUGAAGGAGCUCUCACAGGUCCCUUGCUCUCUCUAAGCUGGGUGCAUUUGUCACCACUGCAGUCAAAAUGUAUAAUGACAAUCUUAUUUAUGACAGGAGACAUGUUUUAAAACAGUUGUUUUAAAACAACUGACAGAGCUGCAAGAUGGGAAACAACAAGAAAGUGCGAUUUUUUUGGGGGGUGGAGAGGGGGAUAGGAUGCUGGCAAAGGAGAACAGUAUUUUCCUUAUUAAAAGUUGGAAUUCAUCCUUUAUUCCUGGAGCAAAUAAAGAAACAGAUCCAGGAGGAAAGCUGGGGUAGGGACAUUGCAUAAUGACAGGACUCAGAGGCCUGGGCAGUUGGGCUUGGGGGUGCCCAUGAACUGCCUCUUAGGGGGGUUUCUUAAAGGAGACAAUGCCAUAUGAAGGCAACGUGGAGGCCAGGAGACAGGGGAACUCAGCUUCCACCCCCAUCUCUCUCUGUGCGAUGUCUUUAGUCAACUCAGCUCAACUAGAGCUCUGCCCUUGACAUCAUGCUUUCCAGUCUAGUUGGAAAUGCAAGCUGGACGCCCUCAGAAUGGCAGGAGCACAGUACAGGCUGUUAUACAGAUGGGAAAACCCUGUGGGUUUAGGGAAGAGAAGUAAAAUGUUCUCACCUGUGUUUGAGGAACAAUCUCAUUCCUAUGGCCAAUAACUUGAACUUGUAAUCUUUUCCUUAUAGCUGUUCCUCCCUAAAAGUCUGGAGGGAAAAUUAUAGAAGAUGAGACCUUCCCAGUGUUAACCCUGACCCUACAGGAGAGGAGGAACAGAGAGCAAAAAUCAAGAAUCAAGAUAGUAGGGAAAAGGAAGAAUGAACUUAGACGAGAAAGAGGCUACUGUCUCCAUAGUAAGAGAGAAUUUAAAAAAGGUCUCUGGAGGUGGUGACGGGACCCAGGGCACGUGGGAAGGAAUUAGAGUACUCCUGGCACAUCUUUUAUAUUUAUUUAUUUUUUGGUGGAAGAUUAGCCCUGAUCCAACAUCUGCCCCCAACCGUCUUUUUGCUGAUGAAGAUUGGCCUUGAGCUGACAUCUGUGCCCAUCUUCCUCUACUUUAUAUGUGGGACGCCUGCCACAGCAUGGCUUGAUAAGCAGUGCCUUGGUCCAUGUUGGGGAUUCAAACCUGCGAACCCCAGGCUGCCGAAGCUGAGUGUGCAAACUUAAGUGCUAUGCCACUGGGCUGGCCCCCUGGCACAUCUUUUUUUUUCUUUUAAUGGAGUGGGGGUCUAUGUGAUGGGAAGGACUGAGCAGAAGCUGCUAAUUUCACUGAAGGAUCUUUGACUAUUUCUCUCCUUGGUUUCUAGACAUGAUCGUGUUGAUAUGGGAUCCACUGGAUUGAUUAACCACCUUGUCUUUUUCCAGGUUGGUGGUGAUACAGCCCUGGGCGGCAAAAGGCAGCCAGCCCAGGUCUGCAGGGCCCUGCAUCCAGGAACGUGCUCAUGCCCAGUGGUAGAGCUGGGCUGCCCCCUUACCCUUCAGCUCAGACCUUGGCAAGAUGGAUAGUCAGAGCAUUUGGUCAACUUCUUCCUUGGGGACAUGAAUUCAGAGCUUCUUGGAACACACCCACCCCCUCAACUACCCUGCAAGCAAAGCAGGAUAUGAGUUUUUUAAACCCCAAUAUAUUUUGCCAAAUAAGAGAGUGUUAAUACCCCUCCCUCCCCCACUCUGCAUGAAUUGGAUUACUUAAAGCGUCUUUUCAGAGACGUCAGCAGUUUAAUAGAGGCAAUAAGUCAGGGCUGCCCUUGUGUUUUAUUUUUCUGCCAGUAUUUAGUUAAUUAAAGAAUGCAAAUUAAAACACCUUAAUUUAUAUAAUAUCAAUACCGACGCCUUAAAACAUUUGGCAUAACUGCUCUGGCACGUCCCUUACAUAAACUCUCCAGAGCAGUGCUAAUAAAAAUGAAAAAGGUUGUAAAUCAAAUUUAAUUUAUUCAUCUUCUGUUUGGUACAAAAGCAUAUGCCAAAGUCAAGUUAUUUACGAGCUCGUCAUAACAAUAGGGGUUUUUGUUGGUUGCCAAUGACAAAAAAGGUUUUUCCCAGGGAUGUGUGUUUUAAUUUAGAAAUGUCUCUAGGUGCAUCUAUUUUCUGGGCUCUGAUCUCGAAAAUUUAUAUUUUUGCUCCCAUAUCUCUAGAAAAGAAAUAGAUUUAGAUAUUGAAAAAACAUACUGGGCCUAAAAACAUGGCAACAUUCUCUCAAAAAGGCAUCUGCAACCAUCUAUAUGGAGAUAGACAUAUAUACCACACAUCCCAUGGAGUAUGAAUCUUCAGGUGAGAUAAAAGCUUGGUGAUUUAUAUCCGAUUUCUUAAAUAUUCCAUUAAGAGGAUUAUCUCACAGGAGGCUCUGAUACAGACGGUGUUGGAAGAGAUUUGGUGUGCUGCUGCUUUCUUAGGAGCCUUGGAGAUGAACCACACGUACGUGAAUGAAUAGCCGAACACCAAUUUUCAUCCUUCCCCUCCUUGGCUGAUAUGUCUUUCUUUGUCUGGUGGAUCUGAGCACAGAGUACAUCUUCUUCAGUCCUGAGGGAAGAACAGUGGGCUCCACUCGGGGCUACUGAGGGAUGGCAUGCUCCCUCUGCUUCCCAUGGCAAAGCUCCCUAAUGCAAUUGUCCUUUAAAACUCCCUUCCUCGCCCAGCUUUCAGCUCCACUCUUGACUCAAGCAGGUCUCAGGGCAUGCCAGAGAGUGAGAAAAGUUUUGGAAAAACCCUCUCAACCCUGAUCCUAUCCUGAAAGACCCAAGCAAAUUCACAAAUAGAACCCUCUAGCCAGCCCAUGGCUUGCCCACUUGGGAGGGAGAAACCCAGUACCAUACUGUGCCCUAUUUUAUUCCUUAUCUUCUAACAUGAGCAUUACAAGCUUAGUGGAAGAGGUAGAAUAUUGGGGUUCCUCACUUGGGGUAAUGACGCAGAAGUGGCAAGUGGCAUCUCUCUGGGACCUGGGACAGCCAUGGGUCCUGGGCUGCCACUAGGCUUUUGGGGAGACCUCUACAAAACCCCAAAUAAAAUACCUCCAGGCGGUUCCCUUUCUGAUGUUAAAAACGGUGAUACAUUUUUACACUGCUUCCAUUUGGAUCUAAUGGGACACCCUACUUUGUCUCAGACUCAUUCCAGGAGUGAGCUAGAAACUUACAAUCUGUCAAGUAGCUGCUUCUUUUUUGGGGGGUACCAAGCAGAGCCAGAUAAGGUCUUAGAAAAG